Lycium barbarum (goji berry) is the source of this 830-nucleotide long non-coding RNA. RefSeq lists it as uncharacterized. Lineage: Eukaryota; Viridiplantae; Streptophyta; Magnoliopsida; Solanales; Solanaceae. The transcript is spliced from 3 exons. The record is from RefSeq and is a predicted model, not a curated record.
GGCAGCAAGUUUGGACCCGACCCAAACACUCACAUUUCGGCCCAUGAGGCCCAUUAAACUCAAUAGAUAAGUCACCACUUUGCCCUAUAUCAUUUCACACGACCUAAAACAGAUCCAAAACCCUUAUUUUCUCUCCCAAACCCCCUUUCUAAUUGAGCCAUCAUAUAAGCUAAAUCCUAGACCCUUGACAUGAUAUUAGUUAAAGAGAAGUUGUAGCUUAAGUUUUUUUUUUUGUGUUGUUAAGCAAGCAGCUGGAAAGAGGAACAAGAUUCUUGAAGAUUCUGAUUGCUAAAGGUAAUUUCAACCUCCCACUCAUGUUAUCAAUUUGGAUUAAAGGUUUAAUAUGGUGUAUACGUGAAGGAAACGUUGAUAUACAAGCUAGAGAGAGAGAGAGCAUAAGCCAUGGCAUUCGGCCAUGGCUAGCAAAAUUGGAGCUCAAAUUUGUUGAUCCAAAAAUCAGAUUUUCUAGGUAUUUCAGCCCUUAGGAAGGUGAUAAUAACGUGGAGAAUUCAUUUGGAGCAACAAGAACAAGUAUUAGUGCAUUUCACAAAUUCUAGCUAAGUGGAAAAAGCCAACUUGUUAAGACCUUGGGGAGCCCGAGGCGUAGAUUGGAAUUUACUUUAGAUUGGCUAUCUUGGAGUGCGUACGAGGUACCGACGACAGGUUUGCUGAUCCGUCCGUCUAGGAUAUCUUUUCUGCCAUUUGGAGCGCUCUUUUAUUCAGAGCCCAUCUUUUGGUACAGUCUGUCACUACUGUAUAUAUAUAUUCUCAUUCAUGGGUACGGCGGGGCCCUGUCCCGUUAUAUGAUUCCGCGGUCUGUUUAGAGGUCU